ACUCUCUUCUCCCUCACCAAGGCACCAUUUCUCUCAUCCCCUAUCUCCUCUCUUCUCCACUCACGGGCGAGACCCUCACCGCACCCUGAUGAUCGCUCCUGCUCCGACGGCCACAAGACUCGACUGACUCUGCCGACCUAAUGCUCCUAAGGUCCAGACGAUGCUAACCCCCACUCUCGGCUCCCUUACACUCGGCGAAGACCCGAAGCAGAACUAGGUGUUGGCAUGGGUGCUCGUGGGUGGCCGGCAGGUAGUGGAGCAGGGCGUGCACGAGCUGCUGCUCGUGGAUGGCCGAUAGGCGUGGGAUGCUGCUGGGUUGGGAAUGGUGAAGGCAUGGGUUGCUGCUCGGUUCUAGUGUUUCACGUGGGAGGCAGUUGUUGUGGCUUCAUGCGGGAGCUUGAAAUGGCAUGGGUGACAACCCCAAGGGGCUUCACGUGGAAGCACUCGGUUGGUGUGCUUCAAAACGGGUCUUGUAACCGGGUCACUUGUAAUGGGUCUAGUUUGGGCUUGUAAGAUGUAAAUGGACUUUAGACACUUAAUUUAGAUUUUGGAUCGAAUUUGGGCUUCAAUUUAUAUAUUG
This is a long non-coding RNA of Hibiscus syriacus, 580 nucleotides long. RefSeq lists it as uncharacterized. The record is from RefSeq and is a predicted model, not a curated record. Lineage: Eukaryota; Viridiplantae; Streptophyta; Magnoliopsida; Malvales; Malvaceae. The transcript has 3 exons.